Amphimedon queenslandica is the source of this 758-nucleotide long non-coding RNA. RefSeq lists it as uncharacterized. NCBI's taxonomy places the organism in Eukaryota, Metazoa, Porifera, Demospongiae, Haplosclerida, Niphatidae. The transcript has 5 exons. The record is from RefSeq and is a predicted model, not a curated record.
GCAUGUACAUGUAAUAAUACACACUACUGUGUAGCAGUUUUUUCAAGGAUACAAACCAAAAAUUCAUCAAAUUAAUUUUUGCAAAUUUCCAUUAUUUUAGCCAUCUUGUACCAUUAUUCCACGUAAUUUAAUUUUAUGAGUGUUUAAAAAAAUCCAUAAAUUUUUUAUCCUUGAAGAAGCACUAUAUUUAGUUAUUUACGUGUGUAAAAUAUACAAAAAUUUACUUUUAUAGUAUAAUGAAACUCCAUUACACAAUGCUUGUCGUUUUGGUAAAGCUGAUAUUGUCAAAUUAUUAAUAACUAAAGGAAAUGCUGAUGUGAAUGCUGUGGAUGAGGAGAACAGAACUCCAUUGUUUCAUGCUGUUAAACGGAGAAGUGAAAUUGUAAAUACUCUAUUAACUAAUGGAGCUAGAACUGAUGUUGUGGAUAAAUAUGGUAACACUCCUCUGUUACUAGCAAUUGAAGAAGGUAGAUCAACUGAAAUUAUCAAAUCAUUGAUUGCUAAAGGCCAAGCUGAUGUGACUGCUGCUUGUGAGAAAUAUUGUAUCAAUCCUGAGCUAUCUAGAUCUGAAAUUACUGAGUUAUUAAUCACUAAGAUGCCAAAAUUAAUAUUUUCACCACGGCUAGAAAGGCAAUGGAUGUCAUCACGACUAGAAAGGCAACAGAUUCAAAUGUCCUCAUCAAUGUCAAUGUCAAUGUCCACAUCGCGACUAGAAAGGCUGCGUUACUUUGAAGCACAGUCAGUAAGUAACAUUAUAU